RNAcentral lists this long non-coding RNA (250 nucleotides) under Lathyrus oleraceus (garden pea). Its description in RNAcentral is "Pisum sativum (pea) long non-coding RNA (PSAT_LNC032675)". The record is from RNAcentral. Lineage: Eukaryota; Viridiplantae; Streptophyta; Magnoliopsida; Fabales; Fabaceae.
AAACACAAUAAAAUAAAUAGAAAAAUAAGCUCUAGUUUAUACGAUGAUCAAACAAAAAUUCAAUAUUAAACGCAAUUGCUCCCCAACAACAGCGCCAAAAACAUGAUGCUGCCACAAGUGCACGAAUGUGAGAAGUAAUAAAAGAUAUCGAACCAUAAAGACCAAUGGCUUAAGUACCGAAUUUCGUCCUAUCGGUGUAUAUCUAGAGAAAUAAAAAAUAUGGAUUUUUGUAAAAAUAACUUAAAUUAAA